Molecule: ribosomal RNA, 1441 nt
Filed under: metagenome
Description: bacterial SSU rRNA
Rfam family: Bacterial small subunit ribosomal RNA
Source: RNAcentral
CUUAACACAUGCAAGCCGAACGGUAAGGCUCGACUUGUCGAGUACACGAGUGGCGAACGGGUGAGUAACGCGUAUGCAACUUACCUCUAACUGGAGCAUAGCCCGAAGAAAUUCGGAUUAAUACUCCAUAAUAUCCUGAAAUUACAUGAUUUUUGGAUUAAAGCUCCGGCGGUUAGAGAUGGGCAUGCGUGCCAUUAGCUUGUUGGUGAGGUAACGGCUCACCAAGGCAACGAUGGCUAGGGGGUCUUAAAGGAUGGUCCCCCACACUGGUACUGAGACACGGACCAGACUCCUACGGGAGGCAGCAGUGAGGAAUAUUGGUCAAUGGGUGCAAGCCUGAACCAGCCAUGCCGCGUGCAGGAUGGAUGCCCUACGGGUUGUAAACUGCUUUUAUACUAGAAGAACUCUCUCGACGUGUCGGGAGCUGACUGUAUAGUAAGAAUAAGGAUCGGCUAACUCCGUGCCAGCAGCCGCGGUAAUACGGAGGAUCCAAGCGUUAUCCGGAUUUAUUAGGUUUAAAGGGUGCGCAGGCGGGAUAAUAAGUCAGUGGUGAAAUACUACAGCUUAACUGUAGAACUGCCAUUGAUACUGUUAUUCUUGAGUAUAGUUGAGGUGGGUGGAAUGUGACAAGUAGCGGUGAAAUGCUUAGAUAUGUCACAGAACGCCAAUUGCGAAGGCAGCUCACUAAACUAUUACUGACGCUGAGGCACGAAAGCGUGGGGAGCGAACAGGAUUAGAUACCCUGGUAGUCCACGCUGUAAACGAUGAUUACUGGAUGUGUGCGAUACAUUGUGCGCGUCUGAGUGAAAGCAUUAAGUAAUCCACCUGGGGAGUACGUCGGCAACGAUGAAACUCAAAGGAAUUGACGGGGGCCCGCACAAGCGGAGGAACAUGUGGUUUAAUUCGAUGAUACGCGAGGAACCUUACCUGGACUUAAAUGCAGAACGACCGCCACCGAAAGGUGGUUUCCCUUCGGGGCGGACUGCAAGGUGCUGCAUGGUUGUCGUCAGCUCGUGCCGUGAGGUGUCGGGUUAAGUCCCAUAACGAGCGCAACCCCCAUUGUUAGUUGCCAGCUGGUAAAGCAGGGGACUCUAACAAAACUGCCGGUGUAAACCGUGAGGAAGGUGGGGAUGACGUCAAAUCAGCACGGCCCUUAUGUUCAGGGCUACACACGUAUUACAAUGGUCGGUACAAAGAGCAGCCACUUGGCAACAAGGAGCUAAUCUCGAAAACCGAUCUCAGUUCGGAUCGAAGUCUGCAACUCGACUUCGUGAAGGUGGAUUCGCUAGUAAUCGUAUAUCAGCAAUGAUACGGUGAAUACGUUCCCGGGCCUUGUACACACCGCCCGUCAAGCCAUGGAAGCUGGGGGUACCUAAAGUCUGUAACCGCAAGGAGCGGCCUAGGGUAAAACCAGUGACUGGGGCUAAGUCGGAACAAGGUA